RNAcentral lists this long non-coding RNA (5504 nucleotides) under Theobroma cacao (cacao). RNAcentral's name for it is "long non-coding RNA (TCAC_LNC000695)". Lineage: Eukaryota; Viridiplantae; Streptophyta; Magnoliopsida; Malvales; Malvaceae. The record is from RNAcentral.
UGAUGGAACCAAGGGUCCGAUGGUGAUCAAGUUUAUGUUGGAAUCAUGAGCAAGGGUUUUGAUUGCAUAUUCUUCUAGCUCAUCAAAGGUGUUUAUAAGAACACAAGGAUUAGGGUCUUUUUCCAGAACUCGAAUGUGUUUUUGAAAGUUAGUCGUGACAAAAGAGUGUGGACUGUAUGGUAACAGAAAAGAAGGCAGGUCUUUCCAUUUAAAUGGAGGCAACCCUUCAAAGUUUAUGAAGCUUGGAGGGCAAUUGAUUUUAGAAUCAUAAGCCCCUGUUUGGCUAUUGAGGUAAUGGUGGUAGAUAGCGAACGCAGCACCACUAUGAUUGCAGAGUAAAGCAGAAGGAAUGGACAAGUCCCGAGCCACAUCAGCGACCCAAGACAGCAAGAGACUAUAUAUCAAGAAACUUACCGGAUGGCCUUCACCAGACAAGCUCAGCAGUAGGUUGGUUAGAGUUUGGGACCCGAUAUGCUCGAGUUUGGACAUAAUAUCCUCCUGUUUGUCAGACGGAGAAGUUCCAUCAUCGAAUCCGUCAGAAAAAAAGGCAUACGCUAAGCCCUCGAGAGAAGGGAAACUUUUGAUUUUCCGUUGGCCAGAAGUGGUGGUGGCAAAAGUGACGCGUGCACCGGCCUGGAUCAGGCGCUUUGCUAGCUGGAGAGUUGGGUUUAGGUGGCCUUGGCCAGGCAAGGUUACAAGGAGGAAGUGGGGAUCAUCCGAACUCAUUGCUUCUUCAGAAUUAUGGUAGAUUUUUGUUUAUAUAUGCGUUUAUUAUUGCCAACUAGAUAUAGUGAUCGAGCAGGUGCAGGUGGAGAAAGUAUAAACAGAAUUCGGAAAUUGUCACUUCUAGUGGCUUCAUUGAUAGUUCUAAAAGCAUGAUAGUGUUAGAGUAUUGUCCAAGCCAGAUCGAUGUUAGCUGAGAUGAUAAAUUCAGGAGAGACCUUUCUUGACUUUGGCGCCCCAUACAAAUUAGGAAGUCAAGGUGUUAGCUGGCCUGAAUGAAGAAAAAAUGGGAUUAAGACAGCUACGAAAGUAAAAGAAAUUGCUACAAGGUAAGAAAAUAGCAAGACAAAUGAAUAAUUUACUUAGAGAAAAGAUAUUAAAGAACUCUAUAAGAACAAGGACCACCCAAUUUCUUUCUCUAUGGAAAAGCAAAAAGACCAAUUAGUGUCUCGUGAAUUAAAAUAAAAGUAAAGUCUUCCACAUAUGCCAAACAAACGAAAUUACACUUACCAUAUUAAUUAGAGUUCUUUUUUUAAAUGAGCCUUCCGCAUAACGUGUUUUUGACAAUAGACCUUCUCAUAAUUUUAACUAUUUUUAGUCAAAAGAAUUAAAAUUUAGACAAAAUUACCCUUAAUGAAAUCUACCAAUUUAUUUGGUUCCGAUCUCAUUCCGAAAUCUAUUAACGGGUUAAGUAUGUUUAGGUCUGCACCUCAAACUGACUCAUAUUUUUUAAGCUUUUCUUACCAGACUAUUCAUUUUUGGAGUAUUCCUUACAAAAAAAAAAACGUUUAAGCAUUUUGAGUAUUUUGGAGUAGUUUUUGAUACAUGAAGAAAAUCUGUGAGCGUUUUGAGCAUUGUUAAGCAUUUUGGAGUGAUUUUUGAUAUAUGAAGAAAAACUUUUAAACAUUUUGAGCAUUCAUAUUCGUUAAUUAUGUUGUUAAAUGGAAUAUGGUAUAUCGUUUGAAGUUAUUGAUCUUAUUAAAUGAAAUUCAGUAGUUUUGGUGAUUUUUGAGAAUUACAUUACUAGUUUUUAGGCAUUGUGUGAUUGACUUUGGACAUUGCGCGACUGACUUUAGGUAUUACGUGACUAGUUUUUGAUAAGACAUUGCGUGACUAGUUUCUGAUAAGGUAUUGCGUGACUUGUUUCUGAUAAGGUAUUGUGUGACUAAUUUUUGAUAAGACAUUGUGUGACUAGUUUUUGAUAAGACAUUGCGUGACUAAUUUCUGAUAAAACAUUGCUUGACUAAUUUCUAAUAAGGCAUUACGUGACUUGUUAGUAAGGCAUUACGUGACUUGUUUGUAAAGUAUUGUGUGAUUUAGGCAUUACUUAAAAAUCAACUACGCAAUACCCAAAAACCAGUCACGUAAUGCCUAAAAAUCAGUCACGUAGUGAUUAAGUCACGAAAUACCUAAAGACCAGUCUCGUAAUACUUAAAAACCAAUCUAAUCAAUUUCAAUUCCUUAACUUUUGGAUUUUAUGAAUAAAUCAAUAAACUCAAAAACCUAAAACAUGUACUUUUUUUUUUGCUAAGCCAUAAAAUUAUGCAUUUCAUAAAAGAUAGGUUACAAAACUCCAUAACCCUUCAAAGCAAGACAAAAUAAAUCCCUAUCGGGAGGGUCUUGCUCAUUCCCCUUAUGCAAAAACAAAAUAUACUCCCUUUAUAAAAUAUUCCUUGAUCAAUUUUAAUUCAAAAUCUUAUAAAAAAAAUCAAAAUCCCCAGCAAACAUGUUUAACAAUCAUUCCAAUUUCAGACACAAUAAAACCGUGAACCACUAUAAAACCCAUCAAAUAUAUUUCAGUUAUUUAUUUUCCCUGAGCCCAUCAUUUUAACCAAUCUGAUCCAACUCAUCAACACAGGCAUCUUUAUCGCAGCACACGUUUCGAAACAAGUUAUCACUAGAAAGCAUCUAAUUACCAAAUUCAUCAUGCUGCCUAAAAUCACCAUAGAAUAGUAAAAUUACUGUUUAUAAUCAUUGAGAACCCCAAGAUCCACUAUCUAAAAAAAACAAAUAAGAAAGAACUUGAUGUCAUCUCCGCAUGACGAGAUAGAUAGUAUUUGACCAGAGAGAGAAAUCGAGAUUUAAUUUUAAAAUUUUUGUUUGGAUGGCGGGAUAGAGAAAACUAAAACUAUUUUAACUUGUCUGAAAUUAUUUAAAAGAUAUUAUUGUCAAGUCAUAUAAAAAAUUAAUUUAAAAUAAUUAAAAUUAUAAAAAAUAAUAUUUUUGAAUUGAGUUUAUAAGGAAAGUUAUUUCUCACAAUUUUUUCUAUUACUUAUUAGCACAAUCUUUGGAGAUCGACUGGGGUAGGACUUGGAAUCUUCUUUUGGUGAAUGUUAGGUCAUUUCAAUCGGUUUAGGGACAACCUUGAAUGAUUGUUGAAGGUUUGGUUUUUUUGUUUGUUUUUUAUUUGCUAUUGUUUUUGUUUUUUUUUUUGGAAGAAGAAGAAUUAGAAAUCUAAUGCAUGGCUUCUUUGAAAAAAAAAAGAUUGAUAAAUUUGCUAAGAAUAAAAAUGAGAAUUGCAAUUUAACUCUUUACUAUCAUACUACAAGGGCAUAACUCAAGAUAUUUUUUAAAAUAUAUUUUUAGUACAUGAAAUAAAAUAACAGAUAGAUUAACAAAAUCGAGAUAUUUCAUUAAAAAAAUCCUUUUGCUUUCUUGUCUCUUAAAUCUUGUAGGUUCAAUUCUUCACCUCUUCCAAUCUACUAAUAUAAUUUUUUAUUUGUCCUUCAAAAAGAAAAUAGUUACAUUUUUAUAAAAAGUUGGGCAAGCUGUACAAUAAUUCGACCAAGCUGUAAUCUAUGUAUAUAGUGGCUGAUUGACUUGUUCCCCCCAACCAAAGAGGAAAAGAAGGCAGAGCAUGGUUGUAAUGCUUCACUUCUGUUGGAGGAGGCAAGAUCUGCAAGCUGAUCACAUGUCACAUUGUCCAAUUAAUCUCCUGGACACAACAUCUUUAGCAGUGCUCUACGGGACUUGAUACAUGAUGAUAACACCCAUUUUUGUUUUAUCUCUAACCCCGUCUAAUGUAUGGUCAUGGACACUAUCCUGUCUAAUGUAUAGCCAUGGAUACUAUUUGGCUUUGUUGAUGUACAGUGAUACAAUAUUUCUUGUGUUUCUGAUUUAUUAUCGGAUUUCUAUCAAGUGUUUGUUACUAAAAUGAAUGACCAGUUGGUCUAUCCUUCCACUGUACUCCUGUGAUUUUCACUGUGGUGGCUGAGAAAAUAAAAAGAAGGCAGAGCAUGACUACUUUUUUGAUUACCAUGAAUGAAUUGAAAACAGCAAACUAUUCAUUAAUUUUUCCCUUUCUUUAUGACAAUCAUUCUUCACUUGACAAAGCUUUCCAUGAAAACCUUGAAAUUGUUGGCUGAGGAACCGCCUUGAUUCGUCGCCUCAAGAGCCAAUCCUCUCCACUUCUUAACAUGCCUUAUCAGUUCUUCCCCUUUCUGUCCAUUUCCCAUUACCAUCUCCAAGCACCUUCUGAUCUCUUCCUUCUCUGCAACUGCAGUACCUUCAUUUACUUUCACUCGAACACCAGUUUCCCAUACCUCGUCUACCAGCUUUGCGUUCGUCAUCUGAUCUGCAAACUGAGGCAAUGCAAUCAUUGGCACGCCUGCAACCAAGCCCUCCAGAGUGGAGUUCCACCCGCAAUGCGUCACAAAACAACCUACCGCCCUGUGAUUCAACACUUCAACUUGUGAACACCAUGGAACGAUCAGCCCUUGUUCUUCCUGUAUCUUAUCUUUUAUCGCAUUCUCGAAUCCUUCUUCUUCUUCUACAUCUUCUGAUGGUCGGAUUACCCAUAAGAAUGUGUAGCCACUUUCGACCAUUCCAUUAAAAAUUUCUUCCAUUUGAUUCCUGGGUAGUACUGCCACGCUACCGAAGGAAAUGUAAACAACUGAACAAUCUGGCUUGGAAUUCAACCAAUUGAUAUAAUAGUCAUGACUAGCGUUCUCAAACAACUCACAGCCAUUGAAUUUGUCUGAUGGAACCAAGGGUCCGAUGGUGAUCAAGUUUAUGUUGGAAUCAUGAGCAAGGGCUUUGAUUGCAUAUUCUUCUAGCGCAUCAAAGGUGUUUAUAAGAACACAAGGAUUAGGGUCUUUUUCCAGAAUUUGAAUGUGUUUUUGGAAGACAGCCGUGGCAAAGAGAGUGGACUGUUUGGUAAGAGAGAAGAAGGUAGGUCUUUCCAUCCAAAAGGAGGCAACCCUUCAAAUUUUAUGACGCUUGGAGGGCAAUUGAUUUUAGAAUCACAAGCACCAGUUUGGCUUUUGAGGUAAUAGUGGUAGAUAGCAAACGAAGCCGCAGACUGGAUAUAGAAGAAAGCAGAAGGUAUGGACAUGGCAUGAGCCACAUCAGCAACCCAAGACAGCAUGGGACAGUAUAUCAAGAAAUUUACCGGAUGCCCUUCACUAGACAAGCUCAGUAGCAGGUCGGUUAGAGCUUGUGACCAAAUAAGCUCGCGUCUGGACAUAACACCCUCCUGUCUGUCAGACGGAGGAGUACCAUCAUCGAAUCCGCCAGAAAAAGAGGCAUAGGCUAAGCCCUCGAGAGAAGGGAAACUUUUGAUUCUCCGUUGGCCAUUAAUGGUGGUAGCAAAAGUGACUCGUGCACCGGCCUGUAUCAGGCGCUUUGCUAGUCGAAAAGUAGGGUUUAAGUGACCUUGGCCAGGCAAGGUUGCAAGGAGGAAAUGGGGAUCAUCCGGAUUCAUUGCGUCUUACUUUCGUUUUGCUCAACUGAAUUAUGGUAAGCAAGACAAGUGAAUAAUUUGCUUAGAGAAUAGACAAUAA